This is a long non-coding RNA of Mastomys coucha (southern multimammate mouse), 390 nucleotides long. RefSeq lists it as uncharacterized. The record is from RefSeq and is a predicted model, not a curated record. Lineage: Eukaryota; Metazoa; Chordata; Mammalia; Rodentia; Muridae. The transcript has 3 exons.
CAGGAAAUGGAACAAGAGGGAGAGAGGGAGAUGGACACGGAAUGGCUUCAUAUAAGGAACCAGUAUCUGAAUGAUAACAGACUUACAACUUGAAGGAUGUGGAAGAAGCUAGAGGCAAACCCUGAGCAGGUCUAUAGGGGAUUUCCAGGAAAAAUUAAGAAGCCAGCUUCUGCCGGUCCAACAUAGACUGAAGACCAACGGCUCUCCAGAAAUCUUUCAAGCCUUCAACACCUGUUGAAGCAUCCAGCUUCAUGGAUGGGGAGUCAUCUCAUCUCAAUCUCUCCUGUGUGACACAGCCACUGUUGGACAAACCUGUUGGCUGUAAGCCCUUCUACUGAACCUCCUCCUCCUUUAAAAAUAAUAUAGUCUGUCAGUUCUGAUCCUUUUGAA